AUAGAUGGGUAGAGUGGAGAGGUGGGUGGGUGGGGGGAUGGACAGGCUACAAGUCACUAGAGUUUAGAUACAGUUAGUGAUCGACACGUUGAGAUGGAACGCACCUGUCCUCUACUCUUGCUGUUGAGUACACUGGUAUACUGUAGCCUCGGACAAGGUGGAGCCUCUCUGAGUGUCAGUCCUGACAGAUCUCAGUUCUUUGAAUAUGAGUCUGUCUCUCUGAGCUGUGAGGUUCAGGGGAACUCUGCUAGAUGGAGAGUGGUGAGGAACACAUCGAGAGGAAUCCUUUCAGAGUGUAGUACUGACUGGGGAAAACAACAAGGGUCUUCAUGCAACGUGUCACUAAAACCAUCAGACAGUGGAGUGUACUGGUGUGAGUCUGGGUCUGGAGAACACUGCAAUGCUGUCAACAUC
This is a non-coding RNA of Salmo salar (Atlantic salmon), 414 nucleotides long. The record is from RefSeq and is a predicted model, not a curated record. Lineage: Eukaryota; Metazoa; Chordata; Actinopteri; Salmoniformes; Salmonidae.